Sapajus apella (tufted capuchin) is the source of this 1674-nucleotide long non-coding RNA. RefSeq lists it as uncharacterized. The record is from RefSeq and is a predicted model, not a curated record. The transcript has 2 exons. NCBI's taxonomy places the organism in Eukaryota, Metazoa, Chordata, Mammalia, Primates, Cebidae.
UUCUGGCUGAGUUUUGAGCUUGUAACAAAAGCUGAUUCCUUCCACAAAGCAUUGCAACCAUCAAUGGGAUAAGCCUGUUUCUGUCUUCAAAGCCCUGCCCAGAAGAAGCAGCUAUGCAAUUGAACAGCAUAUAUUGUCACUCUACCACAAAUGUGGUGUGGAUGCUGAGCAGAAAGAGAAGCAGAUGCACUACAAAGACAGUUAAAACAUCACCUAAUCAGGGGGGAGAAAAAAGAAUGAGCUCACUUGAACUAUAUUUAAACUAUGUGCCAAGAGUUCAUUACUAUAACCAAGUUCGUGGUAUUAAUCCAUAGUUGAGGAUUCCUCUGUUUGGGGGGACUAAUGAGUGAUCAAGGUAAGGAAAAGCAAAUUGAAUGAGUGAGUCUAAUGGCAUAUCACUCUCAAUUUGUUUUACUUCAAAUCAAACCCAAAAGCCAAUUUGAUAAUGCAAAAUUACUAAAGCAGAGCUUGCUCAUAAUAUCCUCCUUUCUUGUGAUAAGAAUGUUUCUACAAGGAGAUGAUUUGGUUAAAAUGAGAAUGCCCAAAGGGUAUCUUCCUUCUGCUCCUGCCUGAGGAAGCAAGCAAGGACACUCCAGCUCCAAAUCAAAACAGACGGUUUUCAUAGGCUGAGUAGGAGAUGCAGAAGCAGUCUCAAGUCGCCCCAAGUGUGUGCCUCUCAAGCUCAUAAUGCUUCUGAAGUUUCACAGAAAAUUUCUAGCUAGUAGCAAUGGCCAACAGACAAGGAAUGAAAAGCUACCCUCUGGAUGCCCCCUGACAUAAAGAAGAUAGAGCUGCACAAAGGGUGGGUCAUAAAUAGUGGCCAUUCUGUCACCACAGACCUCCCUUUAUGAUGACAGAGGACGUCUGGUGAUUACAGGCAGCAGCCACACUGCAGUGGGCAGAGGAGGAGAAAGGUACAGAGAAGGGAAAAUUGGAAAAGCCACAGUUCAGAAGCAAAAGACAUUCAUGCACAUCUGGUCUCCCCCUGCGUCCUUCCAGCCUCAUUCAGUCAUUCCCAAAUGGAUAAAGAUGAGGGUGCAACAGCCUAGCUUGUGAGUCUGCCUGUGUAAGCGGGCUGGAUUUGCUAAUGGUGAAAAACUCUUCUGAUGAAAAAAUCCCCUCACUGGAGCUUCCUAAUCAAAUUUAUUUUCUGUGCUCUCUUUGACAGAAAGUAAAGAGAGAAAUUUAUUCCAGAGUCAGAAAAGCCCCACGAUUUUACAUUCUUUUAAUUUACUGUAAUAGUAUCUUAAACUGAAAGCCUAGGGAUUAAUCUUAAAAUUUGCCUUUAAACAUAUCCUUUGUUUAAAGACUUUAUCAUUGUCCCCAUCUCAUUAGCAUAAACAGCUUCUAUUUAUGGUUGUAUCUUCUUAUUAAAUAAAGUUACUAAAGGCCUGCUAUGAGCCAGUCAUGAAGCACAAGUCAUCUGGUAACAAAAAUGACAAAACCCUUGUCCUCAUGGACAUGAAAGUCCAGCCAUAGAAGUGAUUCUUUUCAGCCUUCCUGGAACAUCUCAGUCACUUUGUAUAAUCUACAGUGACUGCAAUUACUAAGAUUCAGAUCUUGAUAGAAAGCUGCUUCAAAAUCUUCAAAUGCUUAGUCCAAGUUUCAAACUGGUAUCUAUCCUCAAAUGUCUUCUCAGGGCUGCUUUCUUCUCAUAAAAGAUGUUUUAUUAUA